AAUGAACGCUGGCGGCAUGCCUAACACAUGCAAGUCGAACGAGACCUCCGGGUCUAGUGGCGCAUGGGGGUGUAACGCGUGGGAACCUGCCCGUAGGUAUGGAAUAACUCAGAGUAAUUUGAGCUAACACCGGAAAAUGUCUUCUGACCAAAGAUUUAUCGCCUUUGGUGGGGCCCGCGUAGGUUUAGCUUGUUGGGGGGGUAAUGGCCUACCAAGGCGACGCUCCUUAGCUGGUCAGAGAGGAUGAGCAGCCACACUGGGGCUGAGACACGGCCCGGACUCCUACGGGAGGGAGGAGUGGGGAAUCUAGGACAACGGGCGAAGGCAUGAACGAGCAAGGCCGGGUAAGUGAUGAAGGCCUUAAAGAAGAAAAGCUCUUUUAUCAGGGAUGGUACUGACGGUACCUGAAGAAUAAGCACCGGCUAACUCCGUG
This 433-nucleotide ribosomal RNA is filed under the name uncultured bacterium. RNAcentral describes it as "partial 16S ribosomal RNA". It matches the Rfam family "Bacterial small subunit ribosomal RNA", at positions 29 to 507 of the family's 1533-position model. The record is from RNAcentral.